Molecule: ribosomal RNA, 353 nt
Filed under: Penaeus semisulcatus
Lineage: Eukaryota; Metazoa; Arthropoda; Malacostraca; Decapoda; Penaeidae
Description: partial small subunit ribosomal RNA
Rfam family: Bacterial large subunit ribosomal RNA
Source: RNAcentral
AAGUGAAAAGGCUUAAAUGGAUUAGGGGGACGAUAAGACCCUAUAAAGCUUGACAAUAAGUUAAUUAUAUUAUAAAUUGUUAGUAUAACUUGAUUUUAAUUGACGUUUGUUACGUUGGGGCGACGAGAAUAUAAUGAGUAACUGUUCUUAAACAUUUAAUGACAAAUAUAAUUGGUAUUUGACUGAUCCUUUAUUAAAGAUUAAAAGAUUAAGUUACUUUAGGGAUAACAGCGUAAUCUUCUUUGAGAGUUCAUAUCGACAAGAAGGUUUGCGACCUCGAUGUUGAAUUAAGGUAUCCUUAUGAUGCAGCAGUUAUAAAGGAAGGUCUGUUCGACCUUUAAAUCCUUACAUGA